Molecule: transfer RNA, 73 nt
Filed under: Escherichia phage nieznany
Lineage: Duplodnaviria; Heunggongvirae; Uroviricota; Caudoviricetes
Also listed under: 1 other name
Description: tRNA-Gly
Rfam family: tRNA
About the family: Transfer RNA (tRNA) molecules are approximately 80 nucleotides in length. Their secondary structure includes four short double-helical elements and three loops (D, anti-codon, and T loops). Further hydrogen bonds mediate the characteristic L-shaped molecular structure. tRNAs have two regions of fundamental functional importance: the anti-codon, which is responsible for specific mRNA codon recognition, and the 3' end, to which the tRNAs corresponding amino acid is attached (by aminoacyl-tRNA synthetases). tRNAs cope with the degeneracy of the genetic code in two manners: having more than one tRNA (with a specific anti-codon) for a particular amino acid; and 'wobble' base-pairing, i.e. permitting non-standard base-pairing at the 3rd anti-codon position.
Source: RNAcentral
GCGUUCUUGGUGUAGCGGUAGCAUUCCGUCCUUCCAAGUCGGCGGCACGAGUUCGAUCCUCGUAGAACGCUCC